GACGGAAGGUGCAAGCGUUGCUCGGAAUCACUGGGCGUAAAGGGUGCGUAGGCGGCUUGGUGGGUCUGGUGUGAAAGCCCCGGGCUCAGCCCGGGAAGGGCGCUAGAAACUGCCGAGCUCGAGUGCCGGAGGGGAGAGUGGAAUUCCUGGUGUAGCGGUGAAAUGCGUAGAUAUCAGGAGGAAUACCGGUGGCGAAAGCGACUCUCUGGACGGCAACUGACGCUGAGGCACGAAAGCGUGGGGAGCAAACAGG
Molecule: ribosomal RNA, 253 nt
Filed under: uncultured bacterium
Lineage: Bacteria
Description: partial 16S ribosomal RNA
Rfam family: Bacterial small subunit ribosomal RNA
Source: RNAcentral